CCAAUAGCGUAUAUUAAAGUUGUUGCAGUUAAAAAGCUCGUAGUUGAAUUUCGGGAUCAAAUUGUCGGUCGUGCCUCGGUACGUACUGGCGUCAUUGGUUCCUCCCUUCUGAAGAACCGCGAUGUCAUUAAUUUGGUGUCGCGGGGAAUCAGGACUGUUACUUUGAAAAAAUUAGAGUGUUUAAAGCAGGCUCGCGCUUGAAUACAUUAGCAUGGAAUAAUGAAAUAGGACGUUUGAUUCUAUUUUGUUGGUUUCUAGGAUCGACGUAAUGAUUAAUAGGGAUAGUUGGGGGCAUUAGUAUUCAAUUGUCAGAGGUGAAAUUCUUGGAUUUAUUGAAGACUAACUACUGCGAAAGCAUUUGCCAAGGAUGUUUUCAUUAAUCAAGAACGAAAGUUAGGGGAUCGAAGACGAUCAGAUACCGUCGUAGUCUUAACCAUAAACUAUGCCGACUAGGGAUCGGAUGAUGUUAAUUUUUUAAUGACUCAUUCGGCGCCUUACG
This 499-nucleotide ribosomal RNA is filed under the name uncultured Glomeromycotina. RNAcentral describes it as "partial small subunit ribosomal RNA". It matches the Rfam family "Eukaryotic small subunit ribosomal RNA", at positions 591 to 1092 of the family's 1831-position model. The record is from RNAcentral. Lineage: Eukaryota; Fungi; Glomeromycota.